Molecule: ribosomal RNA, 253 nt
Filed under: uncultured bacterium
Lineage: Bacteria
Description: partial 16S ribosomal RNA
Rfam family: Bacterial small subunit ribosomal RNA
Source: RNAcentral
GACGAACCGUGCAAACGUUGUUCGGAAUCACUGGGCUUAAAGGGCGCGUAGGCGGGCCAGCCAGUCUGUGGUGAAAGCCCCCGGCUUAACCGGGGAAGUGCCGUGGAUACUGCUGGCCUCGAGGAGGGUAGGGGCACCUGGAACGGUCGGUGGAGCGGUGAAAUGCGUUGAUAUCGACCGGAACUCCGGUGGCGAAGGCGAGGUGCUGGGCCCUUUCUGACGCUGAUGCGCGAAAGCCAGGGGAGCAAACGGG